UAUGUGAUCGUCUCUCGCAUAUCAAUAAGCGGAGGAAAAGAAACUAACAAGGAUUCCCCUAGUAACGGCGAGUGAAGCGGGAAGAGCUCAAAUUUGAAAUCUUAAAGGGUUUCCCUUUACGAAUUGUAGUUUAAAGAAGUGUUUUCUGUUGAGGUUUUGGUAAAAGUUCUUUGGAAUAGGACAUCAUAGAGGGUGAGAAUCCCGUAUUUGACCUUUACUUUCAACUUUGUGAUACACUUUCAAAGAGUCAGGAUUGUUUGGGAAUGCAGUCCAAAAUGGGUGGUAAAUUUCAUCUAAAGCUAAAUAUUGGCGAGAGACCGAUAGCGAACAAGUACCGUGAGGGAAAGAUGAAAAGAACUUUGAAAAGAGAGUUAAACAGUACGUGAAAUUGUCAAAAGGGAAGCGUUUGACACCAGUGUUGUUUUUCUGAAAAUCAAUUAAAGAACUGUUUAUGCUAAGCUUGUUUAGACUUUAUCAGCUAACUGUUUAGUUUUGAGCUUUUCUUUAAUGCACUUUUCAGUUAACAAGUCAACAUCAAUUUCUUUUGCUGUAAAAAAGCUUGAGGAAGGUGGCUUGAGAUUCGUCUUAAGUGUUUAUAGCCUCUUGCCUAUGCAGUCGGAGAGAUUGAGGUCUGCAGCGUAGAUCCUUCGGGGCUAAAUGCAUUUGUGCUAAGUUAUAGCAUUUUAUAGACAACUUGUUGACUAUGAUUUGUCUUGGAGCUUACUCGCUUAUGUUAUUUUACCUACGCUUAGGAUGUUGAGUAGCGACAUACGCAC
RNAcentral lists this ribosomal RNA (776 nucleotides) under uncultured Neocallimastigales. Its description in RNAcentral is "partial large subunit ribosomal RNA". It matches the Rfam family "Eukaryotic large subunit ribosomal RNA", at positions 24 to 649 of the family's 3401-position model. The record is from RNAcentral. Lineage: Eukaryota; Fungi; Neocallimastigomycota; Neocallimastigomycetes; Neocallimastigales.